GAUGAACGCUGGCGGCGUGCUUAACACAUGCAAGUCGAACGGUGAAGCAGUGCUUGCGUUGUGGACCAGUGGCGAACGGGUGAGUAACACGUGAGCAACCCGCCCCUGACUCUGGGAUAAGCGCUGGAAACGGCGGCUCAUACAGGAUAUGAGCUCUGCCCGCACGGUCAGCGGGUGGAAAGAUUUUUCGGUCUGGGAUGGGCUCACGGCCUAUCAGCUUGUUGGUGGGGUAAUGGCUCACCAAGGCGUCGACGGGUAGCCGGCCUGAGAGGGUGACCGGCCACACUGGGACUGAGACACGGCCCAGACUCCUACGGGAGGCAGCAGUGGGGAAUAUUGCACAAUGGGCGGAAGCCUGAUGCAGCAACGCCGCGUGAGGGAUGACGGCCUUCGGGUUGUAAACCUCUUUUGGCAGUGAAGAAGCGAGAGUGACGGUACCUGCAGAAAAAGCGCCGGCUAACUACGUG
This 467-nucleotide ribosomal RNA is filed under the name uncultured bacterium. RNAcentral's name for it is "partial 16S ribosomal RNA". It matches the Rfam family "Bacterial small subunit ribosomal RNA", at positions 28 to 507 of the family's 1533-position model. The record is from RNAcentral.